RNAcentral lists this ribosomal RNA (254 nucleotides) under uncultured bacterium. Its description in RNAcentral is "partial 16S ribosomal RNA". It matches the Rfam family "Bacterial small subunit ribosomal RNA", at positions 524 to 776 of the family's 1533-position model. The record is from RNAcentral.
UACGUAGGGGGGCUAGCGUUGUCCGGAUUUAUUAGGCGUAAAGAGCGUGUAGGCGGCCAGGUAGGUCUGCUGUGAAAACUCGAGGCUCAACCUCGAGACGUCGGCGGAAACCAUCUGGCUAGAGUCCGGAAGAGGAGAGUGGAAUUCCUGGUGUAGCGGUGAAAUGCGCAGAUAUCAGGAAGAACACCCGUGGCGAAGGCGGCUCUCUGGGACGGUACUGACGCUGAGACGCGAAAGCGUGGGGAGCGAACAGG